UGAGAAAACUGUGACCAAAGUUUGUUAUUUUGUUACGGACAGACAGACAGACGGACAGACAGACAGACGGACAGACACACAAGGGUAAAACAGUAUACCCCCCUCUCCUUCGGAGCGGGGGUAUAAUAAUACAAAUACCCGGUAUGUUAAAGCUGAAUACGACUCGUAAAUAGGCAUACGCCAUUUUCGAUACUAUUAGCUACGAUAUCAGCACCGGGAUAUACCCUUCGGAUUCGUUACACUUGACUGUGGAGUGGCGACACUUGUUGUGCUGGUUAUCUUGCUUUACAUUUGCUUUCAUUUUAUUGCACUUACGUGUAUUUGUGAUUGUUUGUAUACUGCACUGACCUGUGCAACUGUUGUAAGUUUCUCGGGUAUCUUACUUUCCUGCAUUAGAAGAAGUACACAGUUAUAUUUUGUCGCUACCGAGUGCUGUAUAGCAUACGUCCGUCUUCACCGGUGUCGAUUGAAUACACUGAACAGUGAUCAAGUCAGCGGCUUUAUAUAAGAACUCAGAUAUAGCAAGAAACCAAUCGAAUAUGGCGGACACAUUCCUUUUAUGAAUCGUGUUCAGCUUUAAGAAGGAAUAAAACACGAACCUUCGGAAAUCAGUGUCAAGGAGGAGUAAGCAUCCCCUUUUAACCGGUCACACCCGCCGUUAGCCCUAUGUAUUGAUCACGUAGACAGAACAUUUCGUAGUCAAAUUGACAGGUGAGCGUGUUCUAGUGUGCCCAAGCUGCACUGAGCAAUGCAGACAUACCCAAGAAAAGGCUUGAGGGAUUCAUUUUAAAAACUUAGGACUUUAUCGAUUAAUGAAUUUCAUGGAAACAAUAUAAAAAUUAACAUACUGAACUGAAAGUGCACAAGACAGGGGGACAUUUUACUACCGCAAUUUACUUAAUGCAAGAGACGUGAAAGGGAAAGUAAAGAAUACAUUUCGUCCACACAAGAUCUUGUACUACACCACUCUGGAUGCAAUUUGUCUUCUUAUGUUUCUUCAAGAUUUGGAUGUUGAUUUGGAUUCAGAAAUACCCUUGCCAAGCCACUUCAACAACUUGACAAAUGAUGAAAAAAAUACAGUGGUUGAAUGAAAUAUGCGGUAAAAUACUAGGAAAAAAUAUUUCUUUGAUGGAUCAUCUGAUGUGUGUGAACAAUUACGUGAAAUUACAGGGAAUCCACAUCAUCAUACCUAUUGGGUACAUACUUUAGAAGAUGGUCGAAUUCGAUGUCUCUUUUGUCCUAAAACAUAUGCUUAUGUAGGCUCGUUAAAAGCUCACGAGAGCAAAAUGCAUAACAUCACCAUAGCAAAACAGUCCAAAGUGUCUAAAAAGAAAGAUCCUAACGCAGAUCAACUUCAGGACUACAUUUUAAUGCUCAUCACAGUUGUGAUGCUACAUAAGAAUCUCGACAGUGCUCUGGACAUGGGAGAUGGGGAACGAUCUGUAAGAUCAACAAAGUAUUAACUGCCAAUAUACAACAAACCCAACAAGCAAAUUCAAAGAAUUGUGGUCCCCCGGUGUCUUAGUGGACGGGAUGACAUUAUUUACGACAUAUUGUAACUGUCUUGAUUGUGUGUCCCGUCUUGUCUGUGCAUUAUACAAAAAAGAUAUUAAUUACUGAAUCAAUAACAGUUAUGA
This is a long non-coding RNA of Saccostrea echinata, 1637 nucleotides long. RefSeq lists it as uncharacterized. The record is from RefSeq and is a predicted model, not a curated record. The transcript is spliced from 3 exons. Lineage: Eukaryota; Metazoa; Mollusca; Bivalvia; Ostreida; Ostreidae.